UGGGGAAUAUUGCGCAAUGGGGGAAACCCUGACGCAGCGACGCCGCGUGAAGGAAGAAGGCCUUCGGGUUGUAAACUUCUUUGAUCGGGGACGAAGGUGACGGUACCCGAGGAACAAGCCACGGCUAACUACGUGCCAGCAGCCGCGGUAAUACGUAGGUGGCGAGCGUUGUCCGGAAUUACUGGGUGUAAAGGGCGUGUAGGCGGGGCGGCAAGUCAGAUGUGAAAUACCUCGGCUUAACUGGGGUGCUGCAACUGAAACUGUCGUUCUUGAGUGUCGGAGAGGAAAGUGGAAUUCCCAGUGUAGCGGUGAAAUGCGUAGAGAUUGGGAGGAACACCAGUGGCGAAGGCGGCUUUCUGGCCGAUAACUGACGCUGAGGCGCGAAAGCAUGGGGAGCAAACAGG
This 404-nucleotide ribosomal RNA is filed under the name uncultured bacterium. RNAcentral describes it as "bacterial SSU rRNA". It matches the Rfam family "Bacterial small subunit ribosomal RNA", at positions 355 to 776 of the family's 1533-position model. The record is from RNAcentral.